This 1389-nucleotide ribosomal RNA is filed under the name Triticum aestivum (bread wheat). RNAcentral describes it as "partial small subunit ribosomal RNA". The record is from RNAcentral. Lineage: Eukaryota; Viridiplantae; Streptophyta; Magnoliopsida; Poales; Poaceae.
AUGAUGUGUCCCGGCACCGGAAAGAGCCAUACCGUUGUUCCUAGGGCCGCGCCGGGCUACGCAGGCUCCAAGCGGACGCUGGCUGUGUACGACCCUGCUGCAGCGGCACAGCAACGGGCCGAUGCGGCCAGACUCUCUGCGGACGCGGGUGCAUUGGUGCCAUUACCCGUGGGCGUGGCCGGCGAGCCCAUCAAGGCAGUGCCGCUGGCUGCCACCGCUCCUGAGCCGCCGGGGAUACGCGCACCCAAGGGCCUGCUCGCGCACCUGAGCCUCCGCCUCGACCUGCCCGUGCACUUCAUCGACGAGAAGACCGUGACCGCCACCGACGUGGAUCCGCAGCAGAACCGGUUCCGCCUCCCAAUCGACGGCGUGAUACGCAACCUCCGCCCGGUCCUCUCCCACCUAGAUCGCCAGGUCGCCAACCUGGUGUACGUGGAAGCCCCGAGACCAAGGCUGCCGAAGCUACCCAAGGUUCCUGGGGAGAAGACGAAGAAGAGAAGGGGAAGGGAGCACGGCGGCCUUCCCGUGCUCGUGAUCGAGCGCUACGCCGGCAUCAGGGAGCUGCAGCUGACGCGGUGGGAGAGCAGCGGCGUCUGCGUCAUCAAGGGAGAGGGGUACAUGGACUUCAUCAACAACUGCGGCUUCAGUGUGGGUGACGUGGUGGAGAUCUGGGCUUUCAAGGAGAAAGGCUUGCGUUUGUUCGGAGUGGAUAUCUACGAGGAGGGGUACCAGGAGAGCCCUUUAUGCGUUCUGUUCAUCAAGAAAGACCAGAUGCUACCACCAUCCCAUGCUCUAUUCGACGGCCUAGCCAAACUGAAGAAUACCGGAGCAAAUGUUAACAUUCCCUACACCAAGCAAACUACGUAUCAUACAUGUGUGCAUGACGACCAGCUUCCUCCUCCUAGGGUAAGAUUAAACCUCAAUCCUCGCAUGUCCACCAGCAUGGGGUGGCUCCCUCCUUUCUUCGCUCCUCCUAGGUAUUUUUACUGUUGUUUGGUUAUGGAUAACACACUCUGCCACGAAAAGAGAUGGCUCCCCUUCAUGUUAGUUCCAACAUUGGAUCGCGCAGGAAGUAGGAAGCCUCUAUCGAAGCACGCCUACUUAGAGGGGAAAUAUCUUUUCUUGAACCGAUCACCUGAGGAGCAGAUCCAUGUCUACUCGAUCCAGUUCAGAAUCCUCCUCCGAUCUAUUCGUCGCCGCUCGCCGCUCCUAACCUUCUCCAUCCUCGACCUGCCCGGCGAGAGGAAUAAAUUCAUCGUCCUCGUCCUCCACCCAACCAACCCCAGCCCCCCACGCCGUCACCGAAGAAGAAGAAGGCCGGAUCUGCGCCGGCUGAAUCGGCGGCGACCGCGGCGGGCGAUCCCAUCUCUUCGCGCGUACCAUCCUUAA